RNAcentral lists this long non-coding RNA (201 nucleotides) under Brassica napus (rape). Its description in RNAcentral is "long non-coding RNA (BNAP_LNC010987)". The record is from RNAcentral. Lineage: Eukaryota; Viridiplantae; Streptophyta; Magnoliopsida; Brassicales; Brassicaceae.
UUUAUAGUUUUAGAGAAAAUGCAAGUUUAUUAAACAUUGACGCAAACGACAUCCACGGAGGUCGUCUAGUAGACUUCCAGAGAAGUCGUCUAUUUAGGUCAUUUUUGCAAUUAAAAUUUUACAAAGACUCUGUUGUAAUGAGUAGGUUAACUCCACAGACUCUGUGUUCAUGUCCAGGUUAUAAUCUUCUUGAGUCAUUGC